AUUUAAAUAAUUUAAUAAAAUAUUGAUUUGUGGAAUCAAAAUUAUAUGUAAAAUCAUAUUUUAAAUA
This 67-nucleotide transfer RNA is filed under the name Podagrion sp. JY-2018. RNAcentral describes it as "tRNA-His". The record is from RNAcentral. Lineage: Eukaryota; Metazoa; Arthropoda; Insecta; Hymenoptera; Torymidae.